GCCUUAUUUCGUUUGCCCAUCAGACGCUUUUUUACUUGGCAUCAUCAAAUUCCUCUCUAAUCCAAUAGUAAAUCAUAAUCCAGCCACUGGUAAGCAGCACCAACAGCUGUUCCCGUGUUCAUGUAAAAGGGCUGAAAGAGAAGGAGUCAGGGGCUCUGAUUCCAAUUCUGCCGUUGACAUCUCAGUGCAACUUCAUGCAGUGAGCGUGGAGGUGAUGACUGUAGAGAUGAUGGUGGAGGUAAUGGCGGGAAUGAUGAUGGAGGUGAUGGUGUAGGGAUGGCAGAAGUGGUGGCAGAGGUGGCGACAGCGAUGAUGGAGGUGAUGGUGAAGGCAUGGUGGAGGGAAUGAUUGUGGAAAUGAUGGUGGAGAUAAUGGCAGGAGUGAUGAUGGAGGUGAUUGUGGAGGGAUGGUGGAGGUGACGAUUGUGGAGAUGAUGGUGGAGGUAAUGGUGGGAGCAGGGAUGGAGCUGAUGGUGGAGGUAAUGGUGGGAGCAGGGAUGGAGCUGAUGGUGGAGGGAUGACAGAAGUGGUGGCAGAGGUGGCGGGAGUGAUUGUGGAGGUGAUCAUUUUGGAGGUGAUGGUAGGAAAUGAUGGAGGUGAUGAAGGGAUGGCAAAAGUGGUGGCAGAGGUGGUGGCAGUGAUCAUGGAGGUGACGGUGGGAGUGGUGGGAGAUGAUAGAGUUGAUGGUAGUGAUUGUGGAGGUAAUGGUGGAGGUGAUGGGGAUGAUGGUGAGGCUAAUGAGGGUAAUGGCAGAGAUGAUAGUGGAGGUGAUGGUGAAGAUAAUGGAAGGUAAUGGCAGAGAUGAUGGCGAGGGUGAUGGUAGAGGUGGUGGUGAAGAUGAUGGUGAGGAUGAUGGUGGGGGUGAUGGAGGAAGGAUGGUGAGGGUGAUUGUGGAAAUGGUGGCAGAGGUGAUGGCAGCUGGCAUUUAGUGAGCAUAUCCCAGAUGUCAGACCCUGACAGUCCAAGUGCUCCUGUCCACACCCUCACUUUGUCUUAAAUGAGUGUAGAUGUCUUAGUUCUGGUUCCCAAAAUAGAGCCUCAGACUAGGACGUGGGUGCUGGUGGUUUGUCUGGAAGGCCAUCUUGGAAGCUGGCAUGGGAGCAGGGAGAAGGUGUUGGAAAAGGAGCAAAGUCAAGGACAAGGGCACAUUGUCAAGAUCGCUGCUGCAGGCAGAGGUCUCUGCCGCCUCACAGGGCCUCACCAACCCUUCCUGCCCUUCACACCAGUCCCUACCACCACCACAUCCCCCGUCUUUCCCCUGUGCUUCUUCCUUUCUCUUACGUAGCACACAACAGAACCUCCAGUCCUCCAAACACCAGCAAAGCUACAAAUUAGUAUGUCUUUCUCCACAUCCUACAGGUAUGAAGUAAAAAUACUGCUUCUCUCAGUGUCAUGACUAUAAGAUCGUGAAAAGAGUUAUUAAAGCCCUAAAGGCUUUUGUUUUUACACCUGAAAAUGACAACACUCAUUUUUCUAGGAGAUACUUGUUUCAAGAAAUUACCAAGGUCAAUGUUAUCA
This 1517-nucleotide long non-coding RNA is filed under the name Pan troglodytes (chimpanzee). RNAcentral describes it as "long non-coding RNA NONPTRT015401". Lineage: Eukaryota; Metazoa; Chordata; Mammalia; Primates; Hominidae. The record is from RNAcentral.